Long non-coding RNA from Neofelis nebulosa (Clouded leopard), 2722 nucleotides. RefSeq lists it as uncharacterized. Lineage: Eukaryota; Metazoa; Chordata; Mammalia; Carnivora; Felidae. The transcript has 2 exons. The record is from RefSeq and is a predicted model, not a curated record.
UUGGGUUUGGGUUUGGGUUUGGGUUUUAACGAACCCGCACCCUAUCCUAGUCAGGCUUCCGCCCCUGCUGACGCAGAUCCACGGGGGACCUACCCGAGACGCAGCUGUAGCCGGGCGAGCAAAGCGGAGGGAUGUCCCGGAGACGGACUGAGAGCCCCGGGGCAGGGGCCGUGUCCCCACCAGAGGGACAGGCCCCAGGGGCCCAGACGCGGCGAGCCGCCAGGGGUCGCGCUGCGUCACGUGUCUGCACAUCCGUUGUCCGCGGUGGGCGCGUGUGUCCGGCUUCAGUGUGAGGCUUUUAACGUGUGUACCUGUUUAUCAAUAAAAAGUGGUCCAAGUGGUGGAUUCCCGUGAGACUCGGCAAGUGUGUGCAGGUCCGGUGUCCUCGCCCCCUCCAGCACCGCCCGUAUGCGACGCGCGGCGGCCGCUGCCGGCCCCAGGCGCUUCGGUAGGUGGCGCGGGUCCUCGCACACUGUUGCUGUCUUAGGUAGUUGGCUUUUCCCUGGUUCCCGGCACCCGCGGCCCGGCAGGUGCCGUCGCUCCCGCGGCGUUGGCCAAGCCCCCAAACGCUCCGGCGCCCUGACGAGCGGCGUGGGCCUUCGGCGCUGCCCUCGCGGACUUUGCCGCGCCCACACUUCACAUCUGCUCCGGCGGGGUGCCUGGCGUCCCACUUUGCUUGGUUGUGAGCAUUCCUGCAGUGUUUCUGGUGCCCUUUGAAAUAAAAACACUUUUUAAAAAAUCCGUCUCGUGGAUCCAGAACCCCGGCGCCUACAGCCUCAUUCGACAGACGUAGCAUUUGUGCUCGAGGGAGCCACAGGCCCGUGAGCGGGGCGGCCGGGCCGGGCACUCCCACCGCCACGGAGGGAGGAAGGGCCCGCACCAUCCCGUGAGGCGCCUGCUGGCUGCCCAGACGGGUGGGAACACGGAGACACGGCCCUGAACACAGACGCCGGGCCGGUGGCGACCCUCAGGCUCGCGUCCCCGCAGGAUUUUGCUGCCACGUGCCCCGUGUCCCUCCUCUAAGGGUGUGACGCUGACUCCGUCCACAGGAGUGUGACAGUGGGGUUAAGAUGGAGAGGGAAAACAUUAUCCGAACAGAAAGGCGGCUAAUCCCGUCUUCCGUCGUACGUGAACUCGUUUCGGCCGCCUGAGCGGAGAAGAGCGUCCUGCGGGUGGCCCGGAGUGGCAUUCCAACGCUCUCGAUGAAAGGGACUGUAAAGACUUAAUAAAAUCAGAAACGAAGGAGGAGACAUCACAACCAAUGCCACAGAAAUAAAAACGACCACAGGGGACUACUAUAAGCAAUCACAUGCCGCCUCACUGGACACCGAGAAGAGAGCGCAUUCCCAGAAACGUACAGCCUAUCAAGACCGAGUCACGAAGAAACCGCAUAGCACUCAGAAAGAACCCACAAGGACAAGUGCCGUGGGUGUGUGCGGGGAACAGGACGCUCUGCGUGAGUGUUCCGGGGUGCAGCCGUGUUCAUGGCGCGUAUUUUGAGGAAGGAUUUUUUUGGGAGGAGGAACUUGAGACCUCAAACUGAUGAACAAGGAGCAUUUCCACUGAAGGAAAUGUUUGACUUCACCAUACUUCGUCUUUCGUUCCUCUUCUCAUUUUGAUGGUCAUCCUUGGGGACGCCAAGGAGGAAGGAAGGUGGGGGCUCCUCCCCGGCCCAACAGUUCCCAGGGGAACCCCAAACAGACAAGCACCCAAGCCUGCUGCAGGGCACAUGAACCUCCGAGAGCCUGAAAGUGGCCACAGGAACGUCUGCAAGGUGACGGGUCGGACGUGAACUUGGCCCCUGCACGUUUUCCAGAAAACACAAACACAGCAACUCCAGGUAAGACUGGACGAGCGCAGAGGUCCACGGUGACGUCACUUGAUCCCACGGACGAGACUCGCUAUCGCCACUGUCACGCUGCCUCCCUUCUCGUGUCUGGAUCUCAACCCAGAUCCUGGAGGUGUCCGGCCCGUCGUGCAGCCGUCUCUCUCGGGACCGAGUUGGGCAGUAGGCGCUCUGCUGCGUGGAUGAGAUUUUCUUCGGUGCCGGCACAUCCCAACGAGAUGAUGAGAUGGGAGCAGGCUUGUACGUGCACUUAGGACCCUCGUGCCCCUUGGGUUCUUCUUAACACUGGUCCCACGCAUGGGCCCUUGGGUGCAGAAGCUCAGCAAACACAGCAUUAUCCUGACUUCACGGUCAGGCUCGGCCGUGUCACGGGCAUGACCUACAAGGUGGCACACCAGCUCUGAAAUCCCUUCUAUGACAAGCUCCUAACGUGGGGCGACCGAACGCGACAUGCCCCUUGGCCACGGGGAGGCAUGCGUGUGUGUGCGAGGACACUACCCACGCACAGCGACUGGCCCUCCGAAAACCCAGUGGCUUGUCUUCACCUGGCCGGUAGAAUUUGCGUGAGUUCUGAGAGGAGCUCCCAGUGCAAGGUUUAAUAAUAACGAUGCCCAAGACACCAUUUCGACAUUUGCAGUUUCCAAGAUGCCCUCCUGGACCUGAUCGCAUCUCACUACAACCUUGAGGCAGAUAACACUGUGUGCAUUUCAUACACCAAAACACCGAGGCUGCCUGAGGUUACAGAAGGCCCUCACUAGGGAGGGAAGGAGGAGGAUCCCACAUGGCCAUUCUGGCUAGAAUCAUCUAGUUCUCCUCUGUUUUUAUUUUUCUAAGUACUGAGUUUAAGAAGUAAUAAAAAUAUCUUCUUUGUUUUUU